Molecule: ribosomal RNA, 227 nt
Filed under: uncultured bacterium
Lineage: Bacteria
Description: partial 16S ribosomal RNA
Rfam family: Bacterial small subunit ribosomal RNA
Source: RNAcentral
AAUACGUGGGUAAUCUGCCUCAGAGUGGGGAAUAACUUACCGAAAGGUGAGCUAAUACCGCAUAAGACCACAAGAUCUGCGGAUCAAGGGGUUAAAGAUUUAUUGCUCUGAGAUGAGCCUGCGUCAGAUUAGGUAGUUGGUGGGGUAAUGGCCUACCAAGCCUACGAUCUGUAGCUGGUCUGAGAGGAUGAUCAGCCACACUGGAACUGAGACACGGUCCAGACUCC